This 292-nucleotide ribosomal RNA is filed under the name uncultured microorganism. RNAcentral's name for it is "partial 16S ribosomal RNA". It matches the Rfam family "Bacterial small subunit ribosomal RNA", at positions 505 to 796 of the family's 1533-position model. The record is from RNAcentral.
GUGCCAGCAGCCGCGGUAAUACGUAGGGGGCAAGCGUUAUCCGGAUUUACUGGGUGUAAAGGGAGCGCAGACGGCAAUGCAAGUCUGAAGUGAAAGGCGUGGGCUCAACCCAUGAACUGCUUUGGAAACUGUAUAGCUUGAGUGUCGGAGGGGUAAGCGGAAUUCCUAGUGUAGCGGUGAAAUGCGUAGAUAUUAGGAGGAACACCGGAGGCGAAGGCGGCUUACUGGACGACAACUGACGUUGAGGCUCGAAGGCGUGGGGAGCAAACAGGAUUAGAUACCCUGGUGGUCC